GACGAACGCUGGCGGCGUGCUUAACACAUGCAAGUCGAACGCUGAAGACCUGGCUUUUGUUGGGUUGGAUGAGUGGCGAACGGGUGAGUAACACGUGAGUAACCUGCCCUCUUCUUUGGGAUAACGCCCGGAAACGGGUGCUAAUACUGGAUAUUCACUGGCCUUCGCAUGGGGGUUGGUGGAAAGGUUUGUUCUGGUGGGGGAUGGGCUCGCGGCCUAUCAGCUUGUUGGUGGGGUGAUGGCCUACCAAGGCUUUGACGGGUAGCCGGCCUGAGAGGGUGACCGGUCACAUUGGGACUGAGAUGCGGCCCAGACUCCUACGGGAGGCAGCAGUGGGGAAUAUUGCACAAUGGGCGAAAGCCUGAUGCAGCGACGCCGCGUGAGGGAUGGAGGCCUUCGGGUUGUAAACCUCUUUCGCUCAUGGUCAAGCCGCAACUGUGGGUUGUGGUGAGGGUAGUGGGUAAAGAAGCGCCGGCUAACUACGUG
RNAcentral lists this ribosomal RNA (486 nucleotides) under uncultured bacterium. RNAcentral describes it as "partial 16S ribosomal RNA". It matches the Rfam family "Bacterial small subunit ribosomal RNA", at positions 28 to 507 of the family's 1533-position model. The record is from RNAcentral.